AGAGAGAGACAUGCGCGCAUAUCAAUAAGCGGAGGAAAAGAAACUAACAAGGAUUCCCCUAGUAACGGCGAGUGAAGCGGGAAGAGCUCAAAUUUGAAAUCUUAAAGGGUUUCCCUUUACGAAUUGUAGUUUAAAGAAGUGUUUUCUGUUGAGGUUUUGGUAGAAGUUCUUUGGAAUAGGACAUCAUAGAGGGUGAGAAUCCCGUAUUUGACCUUUACUUUCAACUUUGUGAUACACUUUCAAAGAGUCGGAUUGUUUGGGAAUGCAGUCCAAAAUGGGUGGUAAAUUUCAUCUAAAGCUAAAUAUUGGCGAGAGACCGAUAGCGAACAAGUACCGUGAGGGAAAGAUGAAAAGAACUUUGAAAAGAGAGUUAAACAGUACGUGAAAUUGUCAAAAGGGAAGCGUUUGACGCCAGUGUUGUUUUUCUGAAAAUCAAUUAAAGAACUGUUUAUGCUAAGCUGUUUAGACUUUAUCAGCUAAUCUGUUUAGUUUUGAGCUUUUCUUUAAUGCACUUUUCAGUUAACAAGUCAACAUCAAUUUCUUUUGCUGUAAAAAAGCUUGAGGAAGGUGGCUUGAGAUUCGUCUUAAGUGUUUAUAGCCUCUUGCCUAUGCAGUCCGGAGAGAUUGAGGUCUGCAGCGUAGAUCCUUCGGGGCUAAAUGCAUUUGUGCUAAGUUAUAGCAUUUUAUAGACAACUUGUUGACUAUGAUUUGUCUUGUAGCUUACUCGCUUAUGUUAUUUUACCUACGCUUAGGAUGUUGAGCGCAUGUCUCUCUCU
This 776-nucleotide ribosomal RNA is filed under the name uncultured Neocallimastigales. RNAcentral's name for it is "partial large subunit ribosomal RNA". It matches the Rfam family "Eukaryotic large subunit ribosomal RNA", at positions 23 to 616 of the family's 3401-position model. The record is from RNAcentral. Lineage: Eukaryota; Fungi; Neocallimastigomycota; Neocallimastigomycetes; Neocallimastigales.